UCUUGCCAAAAUGAACCUCAGAGACAUACAUCUAAGGACCUUGCGUGCACCAAAGAGGGCCUAGGAGGACAGCAGCUGUCCCUACUUGCUGCACUGUGGGGAGGCGCCUGUGCUCACUGCUCUGCUGUUGAAGAGCUCAGUGAAGCAUAUGAUGUGACUGUGGAUAUCCAACUGCUUUAGCUGACAUCUUGGAAGGAAAGCAGGAGAGAGACCUGGGCCCUGACCUUCCUUCGUCACCAUCAGCUUGUGACAUCUUCUCAGGCCAGCCCUAGCCAACUCUGUGACUGUUUCCACAGGUGUCGAUGUUGGCAUCAUGUCUAACUUCUGCUGCUUCCCAAGGUCGCCAUGAUCAUCUCAUUAGUGAGCAGAUGUAAAGUAUUUGUAAAAAGGCAUCAUACAAAAACAAAGUUCAUUGUUAUUCAUCCUUUUCCUUCCCAAAUACACUAGACUUCUUUAAAACAUUAAAGCAAAGUGAGGCCAAGCUGUUUACUUGUUUAACCUAAUAUGAAGGGCCACUGCAAAGCCUGAGGCUCAAAGGUAAGAUUCACAGCCAGGUGCAGUGCCUCCCGCCUGUAAUCCCAGCACUUUGGGAGGCCAAGGCAGGAGGAUUACUUGAGGCCAGGAGUUCGAGACUAGCCUGGGCAACAUAGUGAGACCCUGUCUCUACAAAAAUAAAAAAAAUUAGCCAGGCAUGGUGGUGAGCGCCUGUAGUUUCCAGCUACUCAGGAGGCUCAAUUGCAUAUUCCUAAUUCAUACUUUCUUCUCUCCGUUUCAUAAAUAUUUGUUUUCCAGGUAUCACAGAAAGAAUUGAAAGGCAAGGUUGUCAGACAGAUAUGGCAGCUAAGACACCAACUGAGGAAUGUUAUCAAUGUAGCUCCGUGAAAUUGCCAUAUUUUACAUCCUGCAGUUCUGCAGUCAAGUGGUGGUAUUUUUGUCACAGCCCACAUCAAAGCCCAGAUGGCAUGAGGGAGGGAUGGAAAUGGGGCUCCAUAACCCUCAGGAACUCUGAAGAUUUCAUCUCCUAAGUGGAGCCAGAAUCCAGACGCUGGGAAAUGUGAAUGUUCCAAUAUGGCUGACCAUCAUGGAAUGGGAUCAACAGAUGGAAAUAGGAGGCUUCAUCUUCUUCAUCUUGGUCCUGAGGCUCCAUCAGCCAGGUUUCCAGCACACAUUAAACCCAGGGCUAGAGUCUUUAUCAAAAGAAGACAUUUGGACACAGACACAUACACAGAGAGGACACUGUGUGAAGACGAAGACAGAGAUUGGAGUGAUGCAUCUGCCAGCUGGGGAAUACUGAAGUCUGCCAGCAGCCACCAGCAGCCAGGAGAGGGACAGGGUGCAAAUUCUCCUUCACAGCCCUCAGAAGGAACCAACCCUGCUGACACCUUCGUCUUGGACUUUCAACAAUAUGAUUCUGUUGUGGGCUCUGUGAGGAGCAAAGGAAAGCACACCACAAGAGCCAGAGGGAGAGAGCUUGGCAGAACUCUGGAGGGAGCCUUUCCAAGACCUGCUUUUAG
RNAcentral lists this long non-coding RNA (1514 nucleotides) under Homo sapiens (human). RNAcentral describes it as "long non-coding RNA NONHSAT216162.1". The record is from RNAcentral. Lineage: Eukaryota; Metazoa; Chordata; Mammalia; Primates; Hominidae.